UAGGGAAUCUUCCGCAAUGGACGCAAGUCUGACGGAGCAACGCCGCGUGAGUGAAGAAGGAUUUCGGUUCGUAAAACUCUGUUGUUAGAGAAGAACAGCGCAUAGAGUAACUGUUAUGCGUGUGACGGUAUCUAACCAGAAAGCCACGGCUAAAUACGUGCCAGCAGCCGCGGUAAUACGUAGGUCCCGAGCGUUGUCCGGAAUUAUUGGGCGUAAAGGGUACGCAGGCGGUUUAAUAAGUCGAAUGUUAAAGAUCGGGGCUCAACCCCGUAAAGCAUUGGAAACUGAUAAACUUGAGUAGUGGAGAGGAAAGUGGAAUUCCUAGUGUAAUGGUGAAAUACGUAGAUAUUAGGAGGAAUACCAGUAGCGAAGGCGACUUUCUGGACACAAACUGACGCUGAGGUACGAAAGCGUGGGGAGCAAACAGG
This 428-nucleotide ribosomal RNA is filed under the name Bacteroidota bacterium. RNAcentral describes it as "Bacteroidetes bacterium partial 16S ribosomal RNA". It matches the Rfam family "Bacterial small subunit ribosomal RNA", at positions 355 to 776 of the family's 1533-position model. The record is from RNAcentral. Lineage: Bacteria; Pseudomonadati; Bacteroidota.